RNAcentral lists this ribosomal RNA (302 nucleotides) under uncultured bacterium. RNAcentral describes it as "bacterial SSU rRNA". It matches the Rfam family "Bacterial small subunit ribosomal RNA", at positions 356 to 675 of the family's 1533-position model. The record is from RNAcentral.
CGGGAAUUUUGGGCAAGGGGCGAAAGCCUGACCCAGCAACGCCGCGUGAGGGAUGAAGUAUUUCGGUAUGUAAACCUCGAAAGAAUGGGAAGAAUAAAUGACGGUACCAUUUAUAAGCUCCGGCUAACUACGUGCCAGCAGCCGCGGUAAUACGUAGGGAGCAAGCGUUGUUCGGAUUUACUGGGCGUAAAGGGCGCGUAGGCGGCGCGGUAAGUCACUUGUGAAAUCUCUGAGCUUAACUCAGAACGGCCAAGCGAUACUGCUGUGCUAGAGUGCGGAAGAGGCAACCGGAAUUCUUGGUG